RNAcentral lists this transfer RNA (65 nucleotides) under Dipodomys ordii (Ord's kangaroo rat). It matches the Rfam family "tRNA". Rfam says of the family: Transfer RNA (tRNA) molecules are approximately 80 nucleotides in length. Their secondary structure includes four short double-helical elements and three loops (D, anti-codon, and T loops). Lineage: Eukaryota; Metazoa; Chordata; Mammalia; Rodentia; Heteromyidae. The record is from Rfam by way of RNAcentral.
GGUGGCUCAGUGGUAGAGUGCUUGCCUGGCAUGCAUGAAGCCCUGGGUUCAAUUCCUCAGCACCA